ACAACUAGACUAUAAAUUCAGUCAGCAAACCACCCCUUCUAAACACUGCGUUGAUGCUGUCUGGUCGUUGUGAUUUUAUUUGAAUUUUCAGAAUCGCGUAUUUUGCUUUUAUUUGAGUAGUGCGUAAUGAUAGGGCUAACUGUAGUAGUACAGGUUUAAUAGCAGCAGUGUAGUGUGAAACUUGGUGAAGAUGACCAGAUAAUGUAGCUAAGCUACUGUAGCUAACGUUAGCUGUUGAGUUGUCUGUCAUUCGACGCCUAGAUGUGUUACUAUCUAUAUCUAUUGCUUUCUAGCGACGGAUCGUACAUGAUUUUGUAUUUGUUUAAAAACAAACAAGGUGACGUUAAGUCAUAGCAACUCGCUAGCUAAGGACAUUUUUGAAUUCGGACGUGUCCGUUGACAAAAGUCAAGAUGGUGGCCACAAAAACGAGAUUAACGUUAGGUGGCAGGGUCUUGUUUUUAGCAGCGGAGGUUACCUAAUAAUAUACCUCAGAAGUAUGCUUAGUUCAACUGAACUGGCAUCGGCAUUAAUUCUAAGCUAAGUAACAUAGCGAAAAUGUUUGUCAAACAAAAGACUGGUCUUGUGGCGCACUUGUAGGCCCGAUUCAAAAUGGCGAUUAGGGAGAAACGGAUGUCCAGGGGAUUCGGUGCAGUUAUCUGAAGAUCAAGCUACAAAUGUCAUUUUCGAAGAUCAGAAAAUAAUCAGGUUGUAUAAGAAGCGUUAUCGAAAGAACCAAGUUACAAUUCAAUACAACCUGAUACAAUUGAAUUAAGUUUCCAUUUAUCUGAGGCAGUAUAGUUACUUCAAUGUCUAUUUGAUAUUUUUCCUCAAAUGAACAAUACGUUACAAGAAAAUAAUCAUAUGAAGCCUUGUGAAUACGAAGCUAAAUAUGCACGUUGCUAGACGGUCUUGUGAAGAAUUGUGACGUCAUAGGAAUAGCCAGCUAAAUAUUUGAAUUAGUAGACGUUGGGCGGUGGUCUCAGGCAGUUACGCUAACUUCAAGUUGAUCACAUAUCGGGAAGAAAUACAUUUUAUACCGAAUAAGAUUCAGCAAUAGGAGUUAGGUGAAUAUCAGAUGCAUUUUGACGUUUUUGUUAUAUUAUGCCUAAAAUUACUAAUACGUGGACCUGCUGAUAGUUGAUUACAUGUGAGGACAAUCGUAGAAAGUUAAUGUAGGAAGCAAGUUUCAAGACUAAUACCUUGUGAAAAGAUAUGAUUCCUUUGAGAACAGCCAACAACAAAUUGAAGAAUGGAAGUUGGGUGAUGGUCCCAUUUAUCAGAGGUGUUUUAGUAACUUAAGAAGUCUGUAUAGGUAACACGUGAGAAAAAAGCUACUAAACCUGAACGAUAUGAAACGUGAAGCCUUAUUCGUUUGAAUAGCAAGCAAAGUAUUGGAAGAGAAUUUGGCCUGACGGUGCCUGUAUCAGUCAUUUGAGCUACUUCAAGAAUUAACCACGUUUUUAAACAUAAAAUGUCAAAUGUGCUGCUGAUUAAGUAUCCAAGUGAAGUGGUCGCCUAAAGAGCACGUGCUGUAAUUCAUGGAAUCGCAGGCUCAAAUGUGACCUUGUGUUGUCACGCCUCAGAUGUUUUUUUACUUUUUCAAAACACAAUUUGCUCCAGUGAAGAAAAGAAGGCUUUUUUUUUUUUCUGAGAAUGGACUGAGUUUGAGUUGUGGGUGGAAGGACUUAGCUAGUUAGCAGUGUGUAAGGAAGGACUAUUUCAGGAUCAGAGGGAGGAACCAGGCCACGGGCAAACUGGGAGGACCAGCGGGGAGCGAGGCAGGACCCAGGGGGAUCGAGGGAGGAGCAGAUGGGAGCCAGUCGUGGGAAGCAGCCGGGUGUUCAUCAGAGGGAGCGAGCCAGAUGGCAGGGUAGUGAGCCGAGCGCGGAGAAGUUCCGGGUCGACUGUUGCCCUAAGCCAGCCAGUGGGUCCCAGCAGCAAUGAGGCAGACGUGUUAAAGAGCAUAUGUGUAAAAGGGUCAACUAGCUUCGCCAGUCACAGGAAAAGUGUUUGGUAAUGGUGUGGUAAAGCGUUUAUUUUCCUGGUUUCCCUUUCCUGUGUGCUGAGUGUCUGCUGUGAUGAGUCCCCCGUGGCCUUCUUGGUAGUGGGCUGGUGAGAGGAGGACCGUCUUAAAAGGAUUUCACCCUACAUCUGCAGCACAGAUGUAGUGCCCCCGGGGCGGAGGAGUUUCUCCUGUCAUUGAGUUCAAUAGGUCUACCCCCCCAAGAUGCGGUCUACAUGGGAGUGUGUUGAGUGGGAGGUCUUCUGUACGUCCGUACCGCAACGCCCCUUUGGUGCUGAGCAGCUACAUCUGCUGGUUGAAGUGAGCAGUGAGUUUAAAUGCAUGAUCUGAUCACAUGCGGAGUAACUAUUCCCCUAGCUAAAUAUUGAUAUCAAAUUUACAUUUGCCUUCAUAUUGGUAAUUAAGGGAUUAUCCCUGAAUUUCUAUUUAGUCUGGUAUUAUUGGUCCAACUGUAGUGCCUUUGUGGAUGGGGGGGGGGGACACGUUUUCCGAGUUCUUCUUUUCACAGGCUCGCCCCUUAAAGCAAAGCUGACCGUCCAAGGGAGUCCCUCUUUAGUACUACCCACCACAUUAAUCAAAAAGAGUUGGGGACAUCGCGUAAAUGAUAAUUCUAGGAUGGAUCAAGUGACCCCUCCGGCGUUAAAGUGAUGUAGGAAGGUAUUUUGUGCUAGUUUUCUGUAGUGAGUUGAUCACAUUUGAAUAUGUACUACCAUACUUAUGUUAAGUGUUUUUCUUUCAAUGCAUUUGAACUGGGCAGCCAUAUUUGGGGAGGGGGGGGUGUUAAUCCAAAUUUCUUCCUAGAAUUCUUUCACACAGCUUCGUGUAAAGCAGCAUUUAAAGAUCCAAAUGGCUAGCAUUGAGGUUUGGGGAGCAAGGAAUCAACCGGGUGGUCCACAUCUUUCGGGUGUCCGUUUCGCAUUGUGGUGUAGAGAUUCCUCGGUGUCUACAAGGGUGUAGCAAGUGGCGGGCCACGUUUUGGGAAGUCGACUCGUAUUCUCCCAGGGAGUGUGGUAAUUGUCACCUUUAGAUUGACACAUUUCUAUGUCAUGGAGUAUAAAGUUGCAUUUGGGGUCUCUGGGGUCAGGGGACUGCUUAAUUGUGACUUUUCCAGAUUAUUAUGUGACCCAACCGUUCAAUGAAAGAACAACUAGAGGUCCACGUCUACCCCCGUGUGUCUUAGGAAGAAACGGUGACGCAGAGGCCAGUGGUAUUUUAACGUUUUUUUGUGUGGAAAGUUAAUGAUUUGGGAUUUCCAAAUUUGGUUUUGAUAUUUUCAUUGUAUAUUAGCAACUGUUAAUACAAUUUGAUACUGUAAUUGUGGUGUCUUGGUUGGUUACUGUUUGGGUUUGUCUGUGUGGGUGGGAAUGGUGGAAGGCUUGUUUUCCCUUCUGCAUUUUUCAGUGUGCUGUGUCCUGCAUUUUCAAUACUCAAGACCAACAGGAACACCCCCUAACUCAUUGUAUGUAAACGUUUUCAAUCGCUUCAAAACGCCUCGCAAGGUCUCAAGUAAGGUCACUUACAAAUGUGUUCACAUUUCCCUUUUUAAUAUUUCAUAACAUUUGGCAACACAUAAAUUGCACUCCCUUUGCAAAUUAGGUAAUGUUUUGUAUUGAUUCAACAGAGCUAUCUGUAAAGGAUUCAUAAUUGGUAAUAAAUGCAUAGCUUAUUGUGAUUGAA
This is a long non-coding RNA of Oncorhynchus keta (chum salmon), 3701 nucleotides long. RefSeq lists it as uncharacterized. The transcript has 2 exons. The record is from RefSeq and is a predicted model, not a curated record. Lineage: Eukaryota; Metazoa; Chordata; Actinopteri; Salmoniformes; Salmonidae.